AACGAACGCUGGCGGCAUGCCUAACACAUGCAAGUCGAACGAGACCUUCGGGUCUAGUGGCGCACGGGUGCGUAACGCGUGGGAACCUGCCCUUAGGUUCGGAAUAACUCCCCGAAAGGGGUGCUAAUACCGGCUAAUGUCUUCGGACCAAAGAUUUAUCGCCUUUGGAUGGGCCCGCGUUGGAUUAGCUAGUUGGUAGGGUAAAAGCCUACCAAGGCGACGAUCCAUAGCUGGUCUGAGAGGAUGAUCAGCCACACUGGGACUGAGACACGGCCCAGACUCCGACGGGAGGCAGCAGUGGGGAAUAUUGGACAAGGGGCGAAAGCCUGAUCCAGCAAUGCCGCGUGAGUGAUGAAGGCCUUAGGGUUGUAAAGCUCUUUUACCCGGGAUGGUAAUGACAGUACCGGGAGAAUAAGCUCCGGCUAACUCCGUG
This 433-nucleotide ribosomal RNA is filed under the name uncultured bacterium. RNAcentral's name for it is "partial 16S ribosomal RNA". It matches the Rfam family "Bacterial small subunit ribosomal RNA", at positions 29 to 507 of the family's 1533-position model. The record is from RNAcentral.